UGAAAAGAGUACAAUGUCCUCCUGGAGGGGUAAAAUUUUCCAUACUCUAAAGAGAGGCCAUUUACUAUUCAAUUUGCGUUCAUUUUCAAAUUUGCCGCGCGAGUAUCUAUGUAGCGUCGCGUGGUCAUUGGUCAUCAAGUCAUCAAUUAUUUCAUUUUCAUCAUAAGAUAACCUAAAAAUUUAGUAAAAAUUUUGAUUGGAAAAAAAUGCAUCGAUAAGGGGGUGAAAAAUGGAAAUUAGUGGCUUUUUUUGCUGUACUCAACUGUACUGUUUAGUAUGCUAAUAGUUUUGGCUAUGGCUGGAUCUCUUAAACAAUUAUAAUCAGCUGAAAGUGGUCUACAAAAAACCAGAUAUAACCAAAAUAAAGAUAUAAAAAGUGUAUUGGCUAAUUGGAAGAAACAACAUUGUCCAUGCAUAAUAAGUUAUUACUUUAUAAACAAAUAUUAAUACCUAGGAAUGGAACCUGGAUAUAAUCAUCAAGAAGAUAGCAGGAAUCCCGACAAACAACUUAAAUAAGUACAAGAAUAUUGAGGAAAUCCUCCUCGAUACUACUGGGCAAACUAGAAGAUUGAAGAGGACAAAGCCUUUUGAACUAGUUUGAGUGAUAGGUGAUAGUGAAAAGCAGAGCAUAGUGCGUGAUGUGGCUGUGUAUGUUAGAAUAGUGCACGAUCUUGUUAGAUUAGAUAAGAGACGCUAUCGGGUAAGCUCUUCAUUUUAAGAAACAUUAGUAAUUUAGGUUAAAUUAAAAUUGCUCAUUGGUCAGUUAUGACCAGAUUGCUUUUUUUAUGUUUGGCAAAAAGGGCGUAAGUCAGAAUUGCACAUUGCUAAUGUUUUGAUGAUUUCUGGACCAGCAAAAAACUGUUGUAGACGUAAACUGUAUGUACCAAUAAAAAGAGCCGAUUUUUCUGGUCCAGAAA
This is a long non-coding RNA of Diabrotica virgifera virgifera (western corn rootworm), 917 nucleotides long. RefSeq lists it as uncharacterized. The transcript is spliced from 2 exons. The record is from RefSeq and is a predicted model, not a curated record. NCBI's taxonomy places the organism in Eukaryota, Metazoa, Arthropoda, Insecta, Coleoptera, Chrysomelidae.